CCAUCCACCAUCCUUCCCACCACCUCUCCCACCGUCCUCCCACCUGCACCUCCGGCCAUCCCAGCCCUCUCGCAGCCCCGGUCCCUCUUCCUGAGCUGGAGCCCCAGUCCUUCUCCUUCUUCUUGCAGGGGCAGGUGGCCUGGCUCCUGGCGUGGGUGGCCUGGCUCCUGGCAUAGGUGGCCUGGCUCCUGGUGUGGGUGGCUUGGUUCCUGGUGUGGGUGGCCUGGCCCCCGGCAUUGGAGGUGUCCCAGGAGUCGGAGGUCCGGCAGCAGCAGCAAAAGCAGCAGCCAAGGCAGCCAAGUACGGUGCCGGUGUCGGAGGGGUGCCAGGCGCGGUGCCCGGUGGUCCCGGUGUGCCAGGAGUGACACCCGGCGUUGGCGGCGUCCCUGGGUUGGUGCCGAGCGUGGGGGUACCCGGUGCCGGCGUUCUCCCCGGGGCAGGCAUCCCCCAAGUAGGGGUGCAGCCAGGUGCUAAGCCUCCCAAGUUCGGAGUUCCCGGAGCUGGAGUCCCAGGGGUUGGUGGCAUCCCAGGUGGCCUCGGAGUUGGUGGCCUCGGAGCUGGUGGCCUUGGUGCUGGUGGCCUUGGUGCUGGGCUCUUGUUUCCAGGAGCUGCUGGAAAACCUCCCAAGCCAGGUUUUGGUGUUGGGGGGCUGCCAGGGCCUGGAGUUCCCGGCUUUGGCGUGUCACCGAUAUUUCCAGGUGGGGUCGGCGGCCAGCUGGGAUUUGGCGGGAAGCCCCCCAAGACCUUCGGAGGAGCCCUCGGGGCCCUGGGCUUUAGAGGUGAGCGCCGCCGGGUCCCCCGCCACCCCUGCCCGGCUUCCAAGCCCCCUGCCGGGGCCCGGGGGGGCUGACCCGGUGUCCCCCCCCCCAACCCAGGUGGAGUCGGCUGCGCACAAGGGAAAUACUGCGGGAGGAAGCGGAAGUAACCGCCCGCCCCACCGAUAACCUCAUGAACUUUGGUGCUACUGCAUGGUCCAGAAUGUAAAUCCCCAGCCCAGCUGAGACCCCCCUGGCCCCCCGGCCCCACGCUCCCGGGAGGGACCCCACGGUGCGGCAGCAGCGCCGGGGCCUGCCCCCACCCCGGGAAUUCUCCCCCCCGACCCCCCCAGGGAGCGCGGAAUAAACUGCGGGGAGCAGCUGUCCCCCUUGGUGCU
This 1153-nucleotide long non-coding RNA is filed under the name Anas platyrhynchos platyrhynchos (common mallard). Its description in RNAcentral is "lncRNA (ENSAPLG00000019585.1)". Lineage: Eukaryota; Metazoa; Chordata; Aves; Anseriformes; Anatidae. The record is from RNAcentral.